Molecule: ribosomal RNA, 684 nt
Filed under: uncultured bacterium
Lineage: Bacteria
Description: bacterial SSU rRNA
Rfam family: Bacterial small subunit ribosomal RNA
Source: RNAcentral
GAGUUUGAUCCUGGCUCAGGAUGAACGCUGGCGGCGUGCUUAACACAUGCAAGUCGAGCGAAGCGUAUUAGCGGAAGUUUUCGGAUGGAAGCGGAUAUGACUUAGCGGCGGACGGGUGAGUAACGCGUGGAUAACCUGCCUCAUACAGGGGGAUAACAGUUAGAAAUGACUGCUAAUACCGCAUAAGCGCACAGGACCGCAUGGUCCGGUGUGAAAAACUCCGGUGGUAUGGGAUGGAUCUGCGUCUGAUUAGCUGGUUGGUGAGGUAACGGCCCACCAAGGCGACGAUCAGUAGCCGACCUGAGAGGGUGGCCGGCCACAUUGGGACUGAGACACGGCCCAAACUCCUACGGGAGGCAGCAGUGGGGAAUAUUGCACAAUGGGGGAAGCCCUGAUGCAGCAACGCCGCGUGAGUGAAGAAGUAUUUCGGUAUGUAAAGCUCUAUCAGCAGGGAAGAAGAAAGACGGUACCUGACUAAGAAGCCCCGGCUAACUACGUGCCAGCAGCCGCGGUAAUACGUAGGGGGCAAGCGUUAUCCGGAUUUACUGGGUGUAAAGGGAGCGUAGACGGCUGUGCAAGUCUGAAGUGAAAGCCCGUGGCUCAACCGCGGAACUGCUUUGGAAACUGUAUAGCUUGAGUACUGGAGAGGCAGGCGGAAUUCCUAGUGUAGCGGUGAAAUGCGUA